Molecule: non-coding RNA, 109 nt
Filed under: Synergistales bacterium
Lineage: Bacteria; Thermotogati; Synergistota; Synergistia; Synergistales
Description: TPP sequence
Rfam family: TPP riboswitch aptamer (THI element)
About the family: Vitamin B(1) in its active form thiamin pyrophosphate (TPP) is an essential coenzyme that is synthesised by coupling of pyrimidine and thiazole moieties in bacteria. The previously detected thiamin-regulatory element, thi box was extended, resulting in a new, highly conserved RNA secondary structure, the THI element, which is widely distributed in eubacteria and also occurs in some archaea.
Source: RNAcentral
ACAAAAGAACGGGGGAGCCGGUGGGACCGGCUGAGAGGGGGUUUUUAAACCCCGACCCCUUGAACCUGAUCCGGGUCAUGCCGGCGGAGGGAGUCAUAUCAAGAUAUUC